GAGAAGAACGUAGCGAAAUGCGAUAAGUAAUGUGAAUUGCAGAAUUCAGUGAAUCAUCGAAUCUUUGAACGCAUCUUGCGCUCCUUGGUAUUCUGAGGAGCAUGCCUGUUUGAGUGUCAUUAAAUUCUCAACCGCACUGACUUUGAAUUGGUGUGGCUUGGAUUUGGGGGGAAAAUUGUUGUGGGCUUUUUUGUAUAGUCUGCUCCCCUGAAAUUGAUUAGCGGUACCUUUGUGGAACUGUCUACAGGUGUGAUAAUUAUCUACAUCCUAGACAUCUGCUGGAAUGCUGCUUUCUAAACCUUACUUGUAUUGACAAUCUUGACCUCAAAUCAGGUAGGACUACCCGCUGAACUUAAGCAUAUCAAUAAGCGGAGGA
This 376-nucleotide unclassified non-coding RNA is filed under the name soil metagenome. Its description in RNAcentral is "partial contains 5.8S ribosomal RNA, internal transcribed spacer 2, and large subunit ribosomal RNA". The stretch from base 3 to 119 matches the Rfam family "5.8S ribosomal RNA", at positions 38 to 154 of the family's 154-position model. The record is from RNAcentral.